Long non-coding RNA from Papaver somniferum (opium poppy), 819 nucleotides. RefSeq lists it as uncharacterized. The record is from RefSeq and is a predicted model, not a curated record. NCBI's taxonomy places the organism in Eukaryota, Viridiplantae, Streptophyta, Magnoliopsida, Ranunculales, Papaveraceae. The transcript has 3 exons.
AUGGGUAGAGAGGUUAUCUUCCCUCCCUCUAUCAGUUGCAGUUUCAGUUUCUCCCUCUUCUUCAUGUAACUUUGCAGAGAUGGAUAUAAAUUCCUCAAAUCCAGAACAUAUAGGUAUGUAUAUCUAUUUAAUUUUUCAUUCAUAUGAACAGGGGUUGUUGCGGUUCUUCUUCUUGUGGCUGUAUACCUUUGCGCAUAUGAACUCUGUGCCGUGUAUGUUGAGCAAGCUCGAGUGCUUCUGAGCGAUAUUCUCCUUUGGGUUCUUUUUUGGUGUGUCGGCUAUUGCUUUAGCAAUUAACAUGCUCUUUAUUUGCCGAAUGAUCUUCAACGCGUGUGUUGGAUUCUGUUGGAGCGAUGGUAAAAAAAGAUGAUUCUUGCUUAACGGUAAAAAGAUGAUUGAUGCUUAUAACGAAAUUCGGGACAACAGUCUUAAGAUCCUACUUAAGGUCGAAAGUAGUCGAGAUUUUGGGGAUUUACUCAUCGUGGUUGAGAACGAGCAUAUCGGCUGACAGUUGAGAACGAAGUAUCGAGAAAGAUGCCUAGCUUUGUCUUUCAGACGUUCCUAUAAAAUAAUUUGGGUACCAAUUUAAAACCGUCGUAUAAAUUUCAAUGGGUACCUUAUUUUUCAUGCUACUAUAAAUUAUGAUGGGUAAAUGAUUUUGCGGGUCGUAUAAAUUAAAUUAGGUAACCAAGCCAGUCUGUAGUAAAAAGAAAUGGGUAAAUUAUUUUAAGUUUCAAAGGAACAUUGGUGUUUUUCACUCCAACUUUGUAGGCGAUUGGAGGCUAGUAUUAUUCUUGCAGGAUCCAUGCCCAGCUCAAU